Molecule: ribosomal RNA, 236 nt
Filed under: uncultured bacterium
Lineage: Bacteria
Description: partial 16S ribosomal RNA
Rfam family: Bacterial small subunit ribosomal RNA
Source: RNAcentral
UGAGCAAUCUGCCCUUCUCAUCGGAAUAAGCGUUGGAAACGACGUCUAAUGCCGAAUACGACCUCCUUUCGCAUGAUCGGAGGUGGAAAGCUCCGGCGGAGAAGGAUGAGCUCGCGGCCUAUCAGCUAGUUGGUGUGGGUAAUGGCCCACCAAGGCGACGACGGGUAGCCGGCCUGAGGAGGGUGACCGGCCACACGUGGGACUGAGACACGGCCCAGACCUCCGUACGGGAGCAG